RNAcentral lists this ribosomal RNA (560 nucleotides) under Colletotrichum falcatum. RNAcentral's name for it is "eukaryotic LSU rRNA". The stretch from base 183 to 336 matches the Rfam family "5.8S ribosomal RNA". The record is from RNAcentral. Lineage: Eukaryota; Fungi; Ascomycota; Sordariomycetes; Glomerellales; Glomerellaceae.
UAAGUCGGAAGUGCUACUCACAGUCACCUUUGUGACAUACCCGACUGUUGCUUCGGCGGGUCGGGGCGCCCUCCCGGGGGCGCCCCCCAGGCCCGGCCCCUCCCGGGGCCGAGCGCCCGCCGGAGGAUCACCCAACUCUAUUUUAACGACGUUUCUUCUGAGUGGCACAAGCAAAUAAUUAAAACUUUUAACAACGGAUCUCUUGGUUCUGGCAUCGAUGAAGAACGCAGCGAAAUGCGAUAAGUAAUGUGAAUUGCAGAAUUCAGUGAAUCAUCGAAUCUUUGAACGCACAUUGCGCCCGCCAGCAUUCUGGCGGGCAUGCCUGUUCGAGCGUCAUUUCAACCCUCAAGCCCGGCUUGGUGUUGGGGCACUACGGUCGACGUAGGCCCUUAAAGGUAGUGGCGGACCCUCCCGGAGCCUCCUUUGCGUAGUAACUAACGUCUCGCAUCGGGAUCCGGAGGGACUCCUGCCGUAAAACCCCCACACUUUUUCUGGUUGACCUCGGAUCAUGUAGGAAUACCCGCUGAACUUAAGCAUAUCAAACAAGCGGAAGGAAGUUU